RNAcentral lists this ribosomal RNA (377 nucleotides) under uncultured bacterium. RNAcentral's name for it is "bacterial SSU rRNA". It matches the Rfam family "Bacterial small subunit ribosomal RNA", at positions 29 to 401 of the family's 1533-position model. The record is from RNAcentral.
AGUGAACGCUGGCGGCAGGCCUAAUACAUGCAAGUCGAACGGCAGCACAGCAGAGCUUGCUCUGUGGGUGGCGAGUGGCGGACGGGUGAGGAAUACAUGGGAAUCUGCCCAGUCGUGGGGGAUAACGUAUGGAAACGUACGCUAAUACCGCAUGCGCCCUACGGGGGAAAGCCGGGGACCGCAAGGCCUGGCGCGAUUGGAUGAGCCCAUGUUCGAUUAGCUAGUUGGCGGGGUAAAGGCCCACCAAGGCGACGAUCGAUAGCUGGUCUGAGAGGAUGAUCAGCCACACUGGAACUGAGACACGGUCCAGACUCCUACGGGAGGCAGCAGUAGGGAAUAUUGGACAAUGGGGGCAACCCUGAUUCAGCCAUGCCGCG